This 443-nucleotide ribosomal RNA is filed under the name uncultured bacterium. RNAcentral's name for it is "partial 16S ribosomal RNA". It matches the Rfam family "Bacterial small subunit ribosomal RNA", at positions 338 to 795 of the family's 1533-position model. The record is from RNAcentral.
CCUACGGGUGGCAGCAGUGGGGAAUAUUGCACAAUGGGCGAAAGCCUGAUGCAGCAACGCCGCGUGAAGGAAGAAGGGUUUCGGCUCGUAAACUUCUAUUAACAGGGACGAAAGAAAUGACGGUACCUGAAUAACAAGCCCCGGCUAACUACGCGCCAGCAGCCGCCGUAAUACGUAGGGGGCAAGCGGUAUCCGGAAUUACUGGGUGGAAAGGGUGAGUAGGCGGCAUGGUAAGCUAGAUGUGAAAGCCUUGGGGCUCAACCCAGGAUUGCAUUGGGAACUAGCAAGCUAGAGUAAAAGAGAGGAAAGCGGAAUUCCAAGUGUAGCGGUGAAAUGCGUAGAUAUAAGGAAGAACACCAGUGGCGAAGGCGGCUUUCUGGACUGAAACUGACGCUGAGGGACGAAAGCGUGGGGAGCGAACAGGAUUAGAUACCCUUGUAGUC